AUGAACUGCAGUGGCGUAUUCUAUAGUAUAUUAUUAUUAGCAAGAUACAUAUUAGUCCCAAAUAUAUCAAAUGAUUUAAUGACUACAUUGGUAAACCCAUACACAAUUUAUUUUUACCUUACUAUGGUUGGGAUGAUGGUGCAAUGGAGGUUGGUGCUGCCACUGCAUUGCCACUUUGCUUGUGCCCAGGUCCAUUCCCGCUAUGACGCUGUGUUGGUAAUUGAAGAGAGAUUGUCAUUGGAGGAAGUCGCAUUAACAUGCGACGUGAAUUGGUUGCAUUUAGUUUCAUCCAAGCAGGGCAUGAACAAUGUGCACAAAGAUUGGUUCUACUUGGCUGUGAAUAUGGAGGCAUGGAAGGGGAUGACAUUGGCUGUGAAUACGGAGGCAUGGAAGUGGAUGACAUUUGCGUUGGAGAUGAGCUAG
Molecule: ribosomal RNA, 423 nt
Filed under: Triticum aestivum (bread wheat)
Lineage: Eukaryota; Viridiplantae; Streptophyta; Magnoliopsida; Poales; Poaceae
Description: partial small subunit ribosomal RNA
Source: RNAcentral